This 408-nucleotide ribosomal RNA is filed under the name uncultured bacterium. RNAcentral's name for it is "partial 16S ribosomal RNA". It matches the Rfam family "Bacterial small subunit ribosomal RNA", at positions 28 to 527 of the family's 1533-position model. The record is from RNAcentral.
GACGAACGCUGGCGGCGUGCCUAAUACAUGCAAGUAGGACGCAGUUGCGAACGGGUGAGUAACGCGUAGGUAACUACCUAUUAGAGGGGGAUAACUACUGGAAACGGUAGCUAAUACCGCAUACUAGUAGAUGGACCUGCUUUGUAUUAGCUAGUAGGUAGGGUAAUGGCCUACCUAGGCAACGAUACAUAGCCGACCUGAGAGGGUGAACGGCCAAACGGGGACUGAGACACGGCCCAGACUCCUACGGGAGGCAGCAAUAGGGAAUCUUCGGCAAUGGGGGGAACCCUGACGGAGCAACGCCGCGGGAGGGAUGAAGGUCGUCGGGUCGUAAAACUCUGUUAUUAGGGAAGCGGUACCUAAUCAGAAAGCCACGGCUAACUACGUGCCAGCAGCCGCGGUAAUUCC